Molecule: long non-coding RNA, 377 nt
Filed under: Cicer arietinum (chickpea)
Lineage: Eukaryota; Viridiplantae; Streptophyta; Magnoliopsida; Fabales; Fabaceae
Description: long non-coding RNA (CARI_LNC000989)
Source: RNAcentral
AGAUAUAUGGUGCACAAAUAAUAAAAGAAAUAGAGGAAUAUUUUAAUAUUAACAUAUUAUUUUACAUUGAAAUUGAUAUAAAUAGUAGCACAUUUCAAACAAAAUGCAUAUGAGAUUAAUGGAGUAUUGAAGAAAACAAUAUUAAAGCAACAACCACCAAAAAAAUUGUUGCAUGAACUUGAUCCAUGAAAGCGUCCAAAUAGAAGAAUCUAUUACAGGAAGGAAUUGGUACAGCGUGGCUAUCUGCAUUCCCAUUUGAUCAUUGCCACACUUGCAUCUUCAUUUUGUGGUCUCUAUCUUUUAUCCUCAUCAUAGUUGUUAACAACACAUUUUUCUUUUACUCAACACACAACACAUCUUUUAAUACACUUUUUUCC